UCCAAUAUUUCCCUCCCAAAAGCACCUUACACCUCUACAACUAUACAAACCUAUCCAUCCUCCAUGUUUACACUCAACACACAUGAAUCCACAGUCAAAGACCCCCUCCCCCUCUCCUGAUUCUUUUCGGCAGACACGCCGAAACCGGCGACAACGCUGACGGGUUGUUCCGAUGAAACCCCGACCACAAAUCUCCAAUUCCUUCUCCCGGCUACUCCCUUCCUCCUCUUUUCUCGUCUGAUUGGCAGCCACGGCGACAGAGGGUCGCGGAGUCAAUAAUGAAGGUGAUGAAGAUGGUGGUGGAGCAACGCCGACGACGUCUUCAGGUCGACCUGCGUUGCGGCGUCUGCGGCGGUGGACGACGGUGGUGGUUCACGGCUCGGGUUAUUUCAGUUUAGUCCGCACCGGUCAAACUGGUUCAAAUUGUGUUCGGGUUAGUUCACUCGGGUGAACUCAGGUGACUUGGUUCAGCUUGGUUCGGGUCUCGACUCGAGUUUCGGUCGACAUCAGUUCGGGUUCGGAAGUGGAGGUAGUCGUGGGUUACCCGUGUUUCGGUUCAAGACUUCAAGUUUAGUUUCAAUUCACUUGUUUCAGUCCAUGUUUGGGUCUCGGUUCAGCCUUCACCGAGUCAACUUGGUGUCUUGAGUUCCAGUUCAGUCAGAUUUCGGAUCGGGAUUCACGUCGGAGUUUAACGCGACUCGUUUCGGAUAAUCGCGUACGUUCGUUCUCUUGGAAUUCUUCAUGCUUACUCGUGUGUUAUUUCAAGGAACCCUUAUACGCAACCAAUGUUGAUUGUUGAGGUGAUAUUCAAGAUGAAACAAGAUUUAGGGUGGACUAGAUACACACCUAGAUUAAUCUAUCUUUUAUUGUUAUGAUUUAUGUUGAAACAAUGUUGUUAUUUUUGUUUGAAUCUUGUAUGACAAUUAGUCCUGAAAUGAAAUUCGAAUUUAACUAAA
This is a long non-coding RNA of Helianthus annuus (common sunflower), 956 nucleotides long. RefSeq lists it as uncharacterized. Lineage: Eukaryota; Viridiplantae; Streptophyta; Magnoliopsida; Asterales; Asteraceae. The transcript has 3 exons. The record is from RefSeq and is a predicted model, not a curated record.